GGGUAACAUGGUAGCAAUACUGAUGACGACCGGCAAACGGGUGUGGAACACGUACAGAACCUUCCUUUAAGCGGGGGAUAGCCCGGAGAAAUCCGGAUUAAUACCCCAUAGUAUUAUUGAUUGGCAUCAAUUGGUAAUUAAAGAUUUAUCACUUAAAGAUGGCUGUGCGGCUGAUUAGGUAGUUGGUGUAGGUAAAGGCUCACCAAGCCAGCGAUCAGUAACUGGUGUGAGAGCACGACCAGUCACACGGGCACUGAGACACGGGCCCGACUCCUACGGGAGGCAGCAGUAAGGAAUAUUGGUCAAUGGAGGCAACUCUGAACCAGCCAUGCCGCGUGAAGGAUGAAGGUCCUCUGGAUUGUAAACUUCUUUUAUGUGGGAAGAAAUGCAUUCUUUAUAGAGUGUUUGACGGUACCAUAGGAAUAAGCACCGGCUAACUCCGUGCCAGCAGCCGCGGUAAUACGGAGGGUGCAAGCGUUAUCCGGAUUCACUGGGUUUAAAGGGUGCGUAGGUGGGAAUGUAAGUCAGUGGUGAAAUCUCUGAGCUUAACUCAG
Molecule: ribosomal RNA, 554 nt
Filed under: uncultured Bacteroidota bacterium
Lineage: Bacteria; Pseudomonadati; Bacteroidota
Description: bacterial SSU rRNA
Rfam family: Bacterial small subunit ribosomal RNA
Source: RNAcentral